UCCAUCUCCCAGCCGUCUCUCCUCCCUGGUCUUCUUUCUAUCCAAACUCCAAAGGCGCUGCUGCAUCUGGCCUUCUCUACCACAUCAUGCACCGCCACCGCUGGCCGCUGCUCUCUCCUCCCCUGCGCUUGGCUGCUCUCGUCUGCCUGCCUGCCUGCCUGCUGCGGACAGCAAACCCGUCCUGCGCUGGUCCGAGAGCAGUCCCGGUGGCCGGUGACCGGUGCGUGCGCUGAUCUGCCGGCUGCCUGGAGCAGUCCCGCCGGCCGGUGACCGCUGCGUGCGCUGAUCUGCCGGACGCCUGCAACCGGCUGCUCAGAUCCGUUGCGCAACCGCAUGCAGUCCCGCCGGUGGCCGGCGCCGGGCGCUGUGCCGGGGACUUGGCCGUCGGGCGAGAGUCUGGCGCACCCACCGGUGGCCGGCGGCUGGGCGAGAGUCUGGCGCACCCACCGGUGGCCGGCCGCAGGUCUGCUCUGUUUUUCCAGAGGUCCUCUCUGCUCAUUUGCUUGUGAGAGCAGGCAGUUUACAGCGCACCCACCACCCACCCACCAGCUAGUAGAGUUGUGUCAGUACAAGAAUAGUAAGCAGGAUUGAGAGUGACCGGUGGCGUCACGUCGACGCGACGUUUUUAACUCUUCCCCUUUUUUUUCUUUCUUUUGUGUAUGUGCAAUACAGUAAAAAAAAAGGUUCUCGUCACGUAAAACAUAAGAGACGACAGGUGUCGACAUGCAGGUGGGUGGAACAACCGGGCUCCGGUGCUUGUAACCCUAAAUUUAACCGACACGAGACGAGACGAGAGGAGAUUUUAUCUCUUUCUUCCUUUCCUGAUCCUGAUGAGACGAGGAGCAGUCCAGAUCUGGCAGACCCAACCCUCCACGCCGGCCUGCCUGAUCCUAGGUUCGCCGCCGGCGCCGGCCACGGCCACGGCCACGUACGGUCUCCCCCGCUCCCUUCCUCCGCUCUCCACGCACGCGCCCUUUCUUCCCCAAGCAAGGAUCGAUCCUUGGAACUAGCCACGCGCCGCCUCUCUUUCUCCUUCCUGCCGGACAAGUCGACUGAUGAUCCCAACUAACUUGCAGGAGGGUUAAUCGACGCGCUCAUCCCCACCAUGGCCGACCGCUUCUUCUCGCACCGCCGGGAUGGCCGCGGACAGCACAGAGCACACCCGCCGGUGACAGGUGUGUUUGGCUGCUCUCAUCCGCCCGCUGCCGAGAUCAGUCCCGGCGGACGCCGACAGAUGCGGAUCCGCGCGGGCCGGCGUGCGGGGGGGGGUAUUCUUGCCGGACGUCGAUAUUCUCCUGAGGCCAGAGGCAGUGAAUCAAUCACGUAAGUCGGAUGGUAGCAUCGUCGACACGUACACAGACAUGCGAGACUGUGCCGUUCUCCCUCGUACACCGACCGUGUGCCGGCCGGCCGGCGGCCACGAGUGCAAAUUCUCCCGUGGUGCGAGUGCAACGCAACGCCGGGCGAGAUCCAAGGGCUGAUCAUUGGUCCGUAGUAUGGAUGGAGUACAAGGGCCGGUGAAGAACCAAAGUGAGAAGUGGCCUCUCUGAGCAUGAGUUGUAUGUGGUGGCCUCCACAGCCCCAAACGGCGCCUCUCAUUCUUGUAUUUAAUCCUAUAAUGAACAAGGUUUUCAAUCAAUCGGCAGGGUAUAGUACAGUGGGUGAAGAAUCCUUUUGCAAUACCCUACCGAAGAAGUUGUUCGCGUAACCGAGAAAUAGAAGAUAAAAAUCUUGGUCUCUCUCUCUCUCUCGGAGCAUCUUUGGCGGGCUCGCUUUGACUCCUUUCGGGUUUUGGCUACACACAUGCGAGUCUUUCUGUUCCCUCCUCCAGCUAAUGAUGUUGUUUAUAUGGAAUAUCUUCAAUACAUGCAAUGAUGGGGAUUAUAUAUAUUUGCUUCAUGGCGAUGAGGCAGAAGAGAGCUUAAUGGUGAUGGAUUAAAAGUCCACCGAAACCCGUUGUGCGAAUGUGAGAUAUACAAGUAAAAUAAACCCGUAAACAAGCCUAGCUAAUGGCCUAAUUCCCUCUAAACCGGAGGCCCGGCCCAAUUAUUCUACAAUAUAUAAAGGACAUCCUUGGAGAAGCGACGCCCCCUCCCUGCCUUCCUCCCAAAGAACCCGCAUCCGCUGCCGCCGCCGCCGCGGUAUCCCUAAGUAUCCAAAGGAGCGAACCAUGGCCGCCGCCCACCACCAGGAGCAGCAGCAGGCGCUCGAGGGCGUCGAUCCCCCACCGCCGAUUGCGCUAGUAAGCUCUGUUUCGGCAGAGGCUCCAUACGCCCGAGGACGAGUUCAAAGCCUUCCAAGACCGUCGGUAUGAGCCAGACAAGAAAGGCUUUCCCAUCCCAAAAAGGGGCAAACAAACUGGAGGAGUCCACUUGGCUGUUUGACAAAAAUAAGCACUCAACCGGCCUUGUGCUGGGCGAUCUGCUUAAGCGUGCUAUCUUCUACCAGAACAAUCUGAUUGCUGAUAAGAGAAGGGAAAUGCUGAAGGUAAUGACCUCCAGCAACAAGAACCGCCAAUACCUCCUUCGGCUCGGAAGUCAGCAUAAGGGCCUAGUGGAUAGGCUGGAAAACAUGUUGACGGAUUUCCACGCCGUUAUCCUAAAUGUGGUUCUUGAAAUGCCGGAGCAUUUCAGGGCGCUACCCAAGCUUCAAGAGUAGAGGUUAUUUUAUCAAGAUUUUGGCGACGCUGCUUCAUGAAUUAGAAUUUAUCUUAUGUUAUCUAUAUCUACCGGUAGUGUUAUCAUUUUGAGCUCCUUAGUGAGUGUUGGUCAUGCCCUGAGCCUAUAGAGGUUCUUUUGUAGAGACCCUUGUGCCUGUAGAGAUUCUUCUGUCGAGACUUUGGCACUGCUCUUUUAUGACUGAUAAUUUAUCUUAUGUUGGUGGUUUUUAUCAUUUUGAGCUCCAUAUUGAGUGUUUGUCAGGCCUUGUGCCUGCUGGUUGGAUUGUUUCAACCAGAAUAUUUAUAUGUGGUAUGAGAUCUUUUGUGUGGUUAAAAGCUU
Long non-coding RNA from Triticum dicoccoides, 2999 nucleotides. RefSeq lists it as uncharacterized. Lineage: Eukaryota; Viridiplantae; Streptophyta; Magnoliopsida; Poales; Poaceae. The record is from RefSeq and is a predicted model, not a curated record. The transcript has 7 exons.